UCAGGAUGAACGCUAGCGGGAGGCCUAACACAUGCAAGCCGAGCGGUAUUUGUCCUUCGGAACAGAGAGAGCGGCGUACGGGUGCGGAACACGUGUGCAACCUGCCUUUAUCUGGGGGAUAGCCUUUCGAAAGGAAGAUUAAUACCCCAUAAUAUAUUUUACGGCAUCGUGGAAUAUUGAAAACUCCGGUGGAUAGAGAUGGGCACGCGCAAGAUUAGAUAGUUGGUGAGGUAACGGCUCACCAAGUCAGUGAUCUUUAGGGGGCCUGAGAGGGUGAUCCCCCACACUGGUACUGAGACACGGACCAGACUCCUACGGGAGGCAGCAGUGAGGAAUAUUGGACAGUGGGUGCAAGCCUGAUCCAGCCAUCCCGCGUGAAGGACUAAGGCCCUAUGGGUUGUAAACUUCUUUUAUACUGGGAUAAACCUACUUACGUAUAAGUAGCUGAAGGUACAGUAUGAAUAAGCACCGGCUAACUCCGUGCCAGCAGCCGCGGUAAUACGGAGGGUGCAAGCGUUAUCCGGAUUUAUUGGGUUUAAAGGGUCCGUAGGCGGAUUCGUAAGUCAGUGGUGAAAUCUCAUAGCUUAACUAUGAAACUGCCAUUGAUACUGCGAGUCUUGAGUGAGAUUGAGGUAGCUGGAAUAAGUAGUGUAGCGGUGAAAUGCAUAGAUAUUACUUAGAACACCAAUUGCGAAGGCAGGUUACCAAGUCUUAACUGACGCUGAGGGACGAAAGCGUGGGGAGCGAACAGGAUUA
Molecule: ribosomal RNA, 756 nt
Filed under: uncultured bacterium
Lineage: Bacteria
Description: bacterial SSU rRNA
Rfam family: Bacterial small subunit ribosomal RNA
Source: RNAcentral